ACCUUAACUCGCUAGAUAGACCGUCCUCGCUAGAUUUUACUUCUUUACCUCUCUAUAUAAUCUUAUUUGUUUCAUUCUGUUCUACAUUUUUUCUGUCCAGGGUCACAAGUGUGAAGGACAUUUUGCCAGUGUCCACAAGCUGGUGGGGGCGGCGGUAGUGGUCCGUUGACGUCACAAAUAUGGGGAAGGGGGACAUUUCUCGACGGAUUGUCCACAAGAGGGUCGUGGCGGUGGUGGAAGUCGUACCUGCCAUGAGAUAAACAAAAAACAAAAAAAACAUCAUUUUUAGUGCUCAUUUUUAACGAAGAAGAGGGCAAUGUAGCAAAGGAUUUUCCUCAAGAAGGAAGCAUUGGUGGCAGCAACUGUUACGAUUGUAAUGAAGCUGACCACACCUCGAAAGGCUGCCCGAAUCUCUUCAGUGAAUUGACGGAAGAUGGAAAGCCACAUGAGCAAUACAUUCCAGAAGCUGUGACAUGUGACGAAAAGGAACUGUUUAAGGGCAUUGUCUAUGUGGAAAGGCUUUAACAAUUUUGAUAAAGUCGUCCUACAUGUAAGCCAUUUCUCGAAACUGUAUUUUUUUUUAAAUAUCUAUUGUGUUUGCUUUAGGCUACAGGAAAAGAUAUACUUCAAUACAUAACAUCAU
Long non-coding RNA from Daphnia carinata, 643 nucleotides. RefSeq lists it as uncharacterized. The record is from RefSeq and is a predicted model, not a curated record. NCBI's taxonomy places the organism in Eukaryota, Metazoa, Arthropoda, Branchiopoda, Diplostraca, Daphniidae. The transcript is spliced from 4 exons.